Non-coding RNA from Pelobates cultripes (western spadefoot toad), 3820 nucleotides. The record is from the annotation of a GenBank genome assembly. NCBI's taxonomy places the organism in Eukaryota, Metazoa, Chordata, Amphibia, Anura, Pelobatidae.
CAUCACUUGCUCCCCUACACCCCGCUCCAUUGGCUGAUAUCAUCAGAAUUGAUAAUCCCAUAGGAAAGCACUGGAUUGGCUGAGAUCGUCAAUUGUGAUGAUCUCAGUCAAGGAUGCAGGGCGGGUGGAAGAGCCAAACACCGCCCUGGCCAAUCACCAUCUCCUCAUAGAGAUGCAUUGAAUCAAUGCAUCUCUAUGGAGAAAGUUCAUCAUCACAAGCAUACCCAUUUAAUGAGCUAUCUACUAAGCAGAUGAAAGAUACAAAUUAAGAAAAGAUUUCCUCAUUUUGAUCUUUCAGCUGUUUAGUAAAUAGCUAUCUAAUUUAGCAGUCCUAUGUGCCAUCAACAUAAUUAUCAACUAAACAAACAAAAAAAAUUAAAUUUUCUUUUUUUUUGCUGUACUCAGGGAAAUAGGGACAAAGAGCUUCUCGCACAGUCACUUAUACAAAAAUCAUACGUUCUUACAGUCCUUUUUAAAUGCCCUCCCAUAGAGUGAAUGUUGACAGACACCUCUUUAUUCCUUCAUUGUUCUCUAGUAAAGGGCAUCGGAAACAAAUUGUCCACACAGCAAUCGAAAAGUUAAAAUAACCUUGAUUAGACACCCAGACCUCCUCUUGCUAUCUCUAUCUCCAUAUUGUUCUGCUUGUUACUAUUUUUAAUGAAGCAUUGCAGCCAGUCCUGAUAAAAAAAAAAAAGUUCACCUUAAAUUGUUUAUUUUUCAGGAUUAAUUAGUAACUAACAAACUUGUUUUCAGACUGGGCAGAGAAAUAAUCCCAUACUAUAAUGAGGCUAAUCUCAUCCUCUGUUUGCAAAUUCCUUUUUUACUAAGCAAAGAAGUCAAUCUUACUGAAAUCACUCACAAGGAUCCAUCAGGUUGGAUUAACCUGUCAAUCUCUGUUUAUUUUAGAUGAUCUCUUCAUAGCUUCCUGGACAAGAACAUCCACCAGACGAUGAGUAGACAAAUUAGCACUUGAUCUCGUUAGUACACAUUUCAUUUUAGUAGUUUGGGGUUUUUGUAGUCCUCCGUGACCUCCCACUACCAGGGAGAAGAGAAAAGACCAGUUAUGGCAUCAUAGGAGGGCUUGUUAAGGUGGCAGUGCCAAUUUAGAAAAUUGGGCAGACUAAAUUGGCCGAAUGGUUCUAUUCUGCCGUCACAUUCUAUGUUUCUAUCUGUCGGGAUAUGUCUUUUAACAAAAUUGUGGUCUAGGCACUCAGGGGUUGAUUAUACAGCAGAUUUAUUUGGGGGAAAGUGCAACGUUUCGAUCUCUGAGAGAUAUAAACAUUUCACUUUUUUCCAAAUAAAUCUGCUGUAUAAUAGAUCAUUGAGUGCCUGGACCAAAAUUUAGUUCAACUAUUACGGUAGGGGUAGCCAGCCCAGGUCUAGUAGCACCGGGAUCUCAGUAAGAGUGCAACAUUCCACUUCUUUUUGAUACAUCGGGAUAUGUUUUUUAGACACAGUACUGCAGGUGUAAGGGCAGCAGAAAUAUUGGGUUGUGCAUGGGAUGGUGCUCCUAGACUGGGAUAUUUCUUAGAGGACGGCAGUAUCUGGGAUUGACGAAGCUGCCAGGCUAUGAUCACUAUGUAUGAUGUCUCUGGAAUUGACCGUGAGAUGAGACAGUGGUCAAGAUAUUCAUAACACAAGACAGUAGUUACUGGUGGAGUUGUAGGAAGCAGAGUUUGUGUCUCUGACAUUAUGUGUUAUAACCUUUUACUACGUGCGAAUCCUACAUUUUCUUAUUUUACUCAUCAAAUGAAAUGUUUUCUAUGUGUGAGCUCAGCUUAUAUUUACUACAAUGUAUAAUUUUUAUUGUUAUACAGAUAUAUGCUGGUAACCUCUUUCAUUUGGUUUAAGCUAUCAUCUGAAUAGAAAUAUAAAUUGCCCCAAAAAAAAAAAAGACAUGAAUAACACUAAACUAAAGACGUUACUUGGCUGUUAUCGUAAAAAUAAUGAUGAAUCACAUACUAAGGAAAUCCUCAUAACUGAAGCCGUAGGAUUUCCUGAAUUGGGUCAUGUCUUUGAGAAAGGCGAUUCAAAAUGAGCAUCCAAGCAGGGACAAGUUAGGUGCCUCCUGGGAAUUAUUGUUUUACAACAUAAGAAACAUUGAAUUGCUUAAUAGCUGAAAAAUAGUAUCAUACCGUAUAGUUCAAUUUUAUAUUUUAUCGAGGCAAGAGUAAAUUCGGGUAUUAGAUCUGUUAUCAUGUUAUUAGCUAUCUGUUGAAUGUGUAUCCUGGUUAAUCGUUUCUCAGUAAAUAUAAUGUUUGGCUAUUCCUACAUUUUACUCACUGAUGAAGGAAGUUCUGGAUGAAAAAGAGAGAAGCCAGCAGGUUGUCUUACAGUUAUCUCCAUGUGUUUCAGAACCAGCAGGGGGAGCUACAGCUGCAGGUAUUUUCAAAGACACCUUUGUGGUUGAUCCCACGUGGGACCUGAAGAAUCUGAUAACAGUAAUAACUGUUAGCUAUGUUUAACCACAUCCAAAAGACGCUACCAACAUCUGAUAAAUGGGGAAAUCAAAGAUGAACUCCACCAUCCGAUCUUAUAGAAAUACAAAAAUAUUUGCAUGUCGUGGUCCUUUGUAGAAUAGAGGAGAGACAAAGACUUUAUUUAUUACCGGGCAUUGCUUGCCAUCAUAGCUAGUGGGGGUUGGUACUAGUUAAUUCUAUGGGCUUGGCAUCCACUGGCAUGGUGUGAGGAGAGAUAGGCUAUGAUUAUGCCAUGACUCUGGGCAUCUUCUGACAUGGUAUGGAGAGAGAAGAACUAGCAUAAUGAUUACACUGGGGGAUAGGCGUCCCUGGCAUGGUAUUUCAGAAUAGAGAAGUUGGCACAAUUAAUAUGUUGAGGGGCAUGGUGUGGCAAAACGGAGAUGGUAUAAUUUAUCUAAUAGGCGCUCAACAUUCUUUUCCUCCUGUGGGCUCAGCAAAGCCUGCGUGAAAUGGAAGGUGGGCACUGUUAGUUCUGAAACAGACGGUCAUUGCCAAGCCCACCCACACCAUAAGUGUAAUCCAUAUUCCUUGGCACAUAGGUUGUGUGAAAAUUGGGGCUUCCCUUUAUUUGUAAGGGGUCAGGUGCAAUGUGACUUUAUGUAUAAAAUGCCAAUCAUUUAAGCAGGUUUUAGAAUGUGCAGAAGCCAAUUAACGUGAAUCUGUUCUAAAGUUUCAGCCACAUAUGAACUGCAAUAUGUUCCAUUAGCCCAAAACCACAAAGAACAAAGUACACACUUUCACAAGAUUCCAAGUACAUCCUGGGGUCUAAAAGUAAUUAUUACCCAAUUUAAGGAUACAUUACAAUAUGACUUCCUGCCAGUAUCCUGUUUAAUGUCUCCAACAUGGUCACAGCCAAAAAAUGUCACAACCUUUUUCUGCCGGGAAUGACCUCAAAGUUAGAAAAUUGUUCGACUUAAAACUGGGUUGAACUUGAGAUCGAUAGUCCAAGAUUGCGAGGUUACCAACACACAAAUUAUAACUGACCUUUUUGUCAAACCCCUUUCAUAGUGCAUCACUGGUGAUAAUGGGUGAUGUGUGUCAUUAACGUGUUGUGUUCCAAAUCCACGUGUUCCAAAUCCACAUGGACAUGCAUGUAUAUUUCUUUAAGCAUGUGUGCAUAUGUAUUUGUUGUAUCUAUUUUUCUACGUGAUGUUGUUUGUACAGUGUUUAUUUGUGUAUUAUUUGCCUCAAUUAACUAUUGAUGAAUCCUUAAAGGUUUGAUGACUUUGCUUCCAGAUGUGAUCAACCACAAGUGGUUGUGGUGUUAGCUCUGCUCACGUGCGAACACUUGGGGGUGCGUUGGAUAAUUGUUCAAAAACAUGUAAUGAAAUGUUUCAGUA